Rosa chinensis is the source of this 748-nucleotide long non-coding RNA. RefSeq lists it as uncharacterized. The record is from RefSeq and is a predicted model, not a curated record. The transcript is spliced from 2 exons. Lineage: Eukaryota; Viridiplantae; Streptophyta; Magnoliopsida; Rosales; Rosaceae.
AAGGGGGUGGGGAGUCAGGUUGAGGGAUGUAAUGUUUGAAAAUUACUUCCGCACAAUAUGUCAUAUUGCCAAAUUGUCAUUCCUAUGUAGCCUGGUAGCUUUGUGUUAUAAACUUAAAAGUGAAAGUUAGUUUGCCCUUCAGCUUGAUGGAUGUCUUAAACAAUCUGCCAAGAAAAUUAUUUUUCUUGAUAAUAGUUUAAUUGAUACGAUGCAGGGACCGAAAAGUUUCCCAACAGAACUUACAGACUUGUUGAUGUUAGAGAUGUUGCUAUUGCACAUAUUCUAGCCUUUGAAAACCCAUCAGCUAGUGGACGUUAUUGUUUAGUUGGAAGCGCAAAACACUGUUCAGAGGUUGUGAAAAUGUUGUACGAGAUCUCCCCUGCUCUCAAUCUUCCAGAUAAAUGUGCAGAUGACAAGCCUUUCACACCAACCAACCAGGUAUCCAAGAAAAGAACCCAAACUUUGGGUGUAAAGUAUACUCCGCUUGAAGUGUCUCUGAAGGAUACUGUUGAAAGUUUGAAGAACAAGAACUUCUUCUAAUUGUGGAACUCAUUCACAAGUCAGGAAGCAGUUAAAGAUUGAUAGUAUGUGUAUGUCUACCUCUGUUGUUUUAUUAUUUAUGAGAUCAUUGUCUUGUGUGACUUAUGCUUGAAGUGAUGAUAUGCACAUAAAAGUACCAUAAUGAUGCUUUGUAUCAUUUGCAAAAAUUCAACUUAUCAGAAAGCAUAUGGGAAUAAUGUGUUGAUUA